UGGAAAAUAACGCGUGUCUGGAGGAACAGUUGAAAAAUGGAUAAGAUAAUACAACAAAAGGAUGAUCAAAUUAUGGACCUGGAGGCUCAAUUAUUGCAACAGCACAAAAUAUUAGAUAACAGCAAAGCUAAGGAUGCUCAAAGUUUGAGUCUACAAGCUCAGCUAGGGGAAAAGAACAAAUUGGAACGGAACAGUUUCCAAACAGUGAAGGAGGUUUUUCCAAACUCAUCCCUAACUGAACAUGAGGAUGAAUUGGCAUUAACCAAAUAAUGCUGCACAAAAAGAAUGGUUAGUAAUAAGCCCAUGCAGUGAAGGAAGUGAACAAUUGUGGGACCGUAUUUGGGCCGAAAAUGGGUGUGGUACGGAAACCAAGAUAUGGGACAAGUUCAACAUGAAACAUGGAUUAGAAUUUAAUUGGGGAUCAAAUCAAGUCUGGAAGUGUUACAGGAUGGAAGAGUCAGCCUACAGAUGAAAAAACACUGAGAGUGCAUUACCAUUAAGGUAUGAGGUAAAGUAAUAGAGUAUGCACAUUGUCUAAUGAGAAGUACCAUCUUGUGUUAAUAA
Daphnia carinata is the source of this 564-nucleotide long non-coding RNA. RefSeq lists it as uncharacterized. NCBI's taxonomy places the organism in Eukaryota, Metazoa, Arthropoda, Branchiopoda, Diplostraca, Daphniidae. The transcript is spliced from 5 exons. The record is from RefSeq and is a predicted model, not a curated record.